CAAACAGUAAUGCAGGACGACACGAGCGCCUUGGACAUGUAUUCUUGCAAAACGAAGCGAAUCACGGGGAUCUGGGCCUGGUCGGGUGUCUGUAGUAGUUUAUCCCUCCCGUCCGACUCAUUGAAGAACUCUUCGUCCAGCUUGAGGUGAGCAAUUGCAGUUCUGAUGUCCAGAAACUCUUUUCGGUCAUAAGAGACAGUAGCAGCAACAUUAUGUACAAAACAAGUUACGAACGAGUUACGAAAAAUAGCAUGGUUGGUUGGAGCCGAUAAGACAGCAGCCCUCCCCUCCGGCGCCAUCGUUGUAUCAAUCAUGACUGAAUACAUUUUGUUUUUUGGUAAUCAGAUUACAUGUAAUCAGUUACUCCCCAACCCUUCCUAUAGCCUUAUCAUAUUGUUAAAACUCCCAGGUGUCCAUUUCAUCUAGUUAAUCCCUGUUGUGUCUAUGAUCUGUCUCUCAUCAAAUUUGGUCUUACUGAGUGUGGAUUUUCCUCUAAAACUCCUUUCUUUCCCGUAGGAUUCACUCAGGAAUGCGAUUUUAGUGCUGAGUUACUGUACCUGUGAACAAAUGUGUGUUCUCAGAACACAUCUGCCAUCCUGAUGUGUCAGUAGUUACCUCUGACUCACACCAUAGGAGUUGUGUUUUACCAGACACCCCCGGUCCUCACCCCUCUCAUGCCAUGUUUCCCUUGAUUACUUAUGAAUUUAUCUUGAUUAUUUAUAAACAUUCUAAACUGAUUGUGGAAUGUUGAGAUCUAGCUACUCACACUGCUUGCUGUGCUUGGUGUAUUGAUUGGUUUGUGUUAAGGAAAACAAUCCUAGAUGCCGUGCCUACCUUAUGGCUCCAGGCAUCAACUCGCCACUUCCCUCCAAGAGGACACCCAGCUGUCCCUGUUGGUAAACCCAGCUGUUCCUGCUGGUAAACCCAACUGUUCCUGUCUGUCUCUCCAUUUUUCCUCUCAAUCUCUGUCUUGCUCCUUAUCCCCAUGUUUUUUUAGACUGUUGAAUGGCACAUUGUUAAGAAUUUAGGUCAAAUUUUGGUAAACCACCUCCCUUUGGUCAAUAACAAUGUCCUCUUCAGUGCAGAUUAAGUUAAAUGAAUAAGAAUGGAGUGGAUUCAUGUGAUGGGCUGGGUCAGACUGUCAGUGUCAAUACACAGUGAAUCUUUACUGUGACAGUUGUUUGUUUAAGAGGCGCCUCUGUGUCUCUCAAUAGGAGGUCACACAGGGGGAACUUCACACUAGUAUGAGCAAACAGGACCGCCUCAGUUCCAUGACUGGAACCUAUGUGAAAUGUGUGAACUAUAUAUACAAAAGUGUGUGGACACCUCUUCAAAUAGUGGAUUAAGCAAUUUAAACCACACCCAUUGCUGACAGGUGUAUACUAUUGAGCACACAGCCAUGUAGUCUCCAUAGACAAACAUUGGCAGAAUAAUGGCCUUACUGAAGAGCUCAGUAACUUUCAACUUAGCACUGUCAUAGGACGCCACCUUUCCAACAAGUCAGUUAGUCAAAUGUCUGCCCUGCUAGAGCUGCCCCGGUCAACUGUAAGCGCUAUUAUUGUGAAGUACAAACGUUUAGGAGCAACAACGGCUGAGCUGCAAGGUGGUAGGCUGACUGCUGAAGCGCGUAGUGCGUAAAAAUCGUUUGUCCUCGGAUACAACACUCACUACCAAGUUCCAAACUGCAUCUGGAAGCAACGUCUGCACAAUAACUGUUUGUUGGGAGCUUCAUGAAAUGGGUUUCAAUGGCCCAGAAACUGCACACAAGCCUAAGAUCACCAUGCGCAAUGCCAAGCAUUGACUGGAGUGGUGUAAAGCUUGCCGCCAUUGGACUCUGGAGCAGUGGAAACACGUUCUCUGGAGUGACUCCAUGUGAAUGCCC
Oncorhynchus tshawytscha (Chinook salmon) is the source of this 1882-nucleotide long non-coding RNA. The record is from Ensembl. NCBI's taxonomy places the organism in Eukaryota, Metazoa, Chordata, Actinopteri, Salmoniformes, Salmonidae.